RNAcentral lists this long non-coding RNA (245 nucleotides) under Lathyrus oleraceus (garden pea). Its description in RNAcentral is "Pisum sativum (pea) long non-coding RNA (PSAT_LNC006692)". The record is from RNAcentral. Lineage: Eukaryota; Viridiplantae; Streptophyta; Magnoliopsida; Fabales; Fabaceae.
UCUGGUCGUGGUUUCUUUCUCCCAUUCAUCCGUUGAUGUCUGGUUGAAUCUUUCCCAUUCGUUCGUUGGCGUCUGGUCGUGGUUUCUCUUCCCAUUCAUCAUCUUUCGAUGUCUGGUCGUGGUUUCUUUCUCCCAUUCAUCUGUUGAUGUCUGGUUGAGUCUUUCCCGUUCGUCCGUUGACGUCUGGUCGUGGUUUCUUUCUUCCCAUUCAUCAUUUUUCGAUGUCUGGUCGUGGUUUCUUUCUC